ACGUAGGGUGCGAGCGUUGUCCGGAAUUACUGGGCGUAAAGAGCUCGUAGGUGGUUUGUCGCGUUGUUCGUGAAAUCUCACAGCUCAACUGUGGGCGUGCGGGCGAUACGGGCAGACUGGAGUACUGCAGGGGAGACUGGAAUUCCUGGUGUAGCGGUGGAAUGCGCAGAUAUCAGGAGGAACACCGGUGGCGAAGGCGGGUCUCUGGGCAGUAACUGACGCUGAGGAGCGAAAGCGUGGGGAGCGAACAGG
This 252-nucleotide ribosomal RNA is filed under the name uncultured bacterium. RNAcentral describes it as "partial 16S ribosomal RNA". It matches the Rfam family "Bacterial small subunit ribosomal RNA", at positions 525 to 776 of the family's 1533-position model. The record is from RNAcentral.